CCAAAAUAAAAGCUUGAUGAGGUCAGUGUGUGUUUAUAGUGUCAAAUAAUGAAUAAAAACCAUCUCAUCCGGGUAAAUGGACUCUUGGACAUGGAUUGGACUAAAAGUGUGUGUCAAAAUAAGUAAUUUCAUUGGUUACAUUUUCGUGUCGUGACCUAUCAACACAUGGUUCAUUUUAAUAUUCAAAUGAGCCAUGUUUUGAUUGCCACGUGAUCACCGCAGUUGCUACCACCAGGCUGUCAAUCAAGCUCUCAGCUACAGAGAACGUAACGUGAGUAACGCUUUAUAUAAUGGAAUGAAGAAAGGAGGGGGACUGUCCGUGCUCAUAAACAACAGGUGGUGUAACGGCGGGCACGUCUGUGUGAAAGAGCGUCUGCAGCCCGGACAUCAAGCUCGUCGUCGUCGGAUUUCGUCCGUGUUAUUUGCCCUGGGAACUUUCCAGUGUUGUCGCCAUCACUGUCUAUAUUCCUCACAGUGGUCUUCAUCAUCACCAUCACUGUUUACAUUUAUGAUGUCCUAUUUAUUCUCCUGUACAGCACUUUGGUCAACUUUGGUUGUUUUUAAAGUGCUUAACAAAUAAAGUUGGAUUGGAUUGGA
Long non-coding RNA from Dicentrarchus labrax (European seabass), 597 nucleotides. RefSeq lists it as uncharacterized. The record is from RefSeq and is a predicted model, not a curated record. The transcript has 2 exons. NCBI's taxonomy places the organism in Eukaryota, Metazoa, Chordata, Actinopteri, Moronidae.